AAAAGGACAGGAGAUGUGGUUCAGUGAUCAAGCACCCCUGGGUUCAUUCUGAAGCAAAACAAACAGUGCAUGAGUCCACGUGGUAGGAUAGGGCAUUCCUCGUGAGCACAGCAGUACCAGCGACUGCAGCUCCAGGCUGGGCGUUUUCAGUUUUCGCGCACCCCUGGUUCCAUCUGGAUCCAAGUGAAUGCCCUGGGUGUUGGUCUGCAUUUCCCAAAGGAGGAAAUGGCCCAGAAAAGAGAGGGCGCCAUGUACGAUAGGAGCUAGGUUCCCCCAGUCUUCCCAACCGCUGAACUGCCUUGCCCUGUGGGCGUGGCCCUGGCGUCCCCAAGACCAACAGAGACCUUGGUAACGCUGACACUGUGCAGAACAACAGCCACCAGGCAGCCAUCCUAGAGCAGACCAGGGGGCCAGGUGCAACAGGCUGGGAAUCCUGCUGCCUAUGGAGUGGGUGGCGGCCCCAGUGCCCAGGCAAAGAGCCCUUCCUGGAGCCUUGCAGAAAGCUGUGCCAAGAGCAGAGGACUGGCUGCCAGGAGUUCCUGGUGGCACCCCAGCCUGCACCACCAGCCUGGAGACAGAGUUUCCAUCAGAUCUGGAGCUGAGCGAGGAACAGCGACUACAGAUCUCCAAGGAGCUGGUUGACCUUCAGAUUGUGACCCAUCGCCUACGGGAGCAGCAUGAGGCUGAAAUCUUCCAGCUGAGGAGAGAGGUCCUUCGGCUGGAGAGCAGGGUGCUGGAGCUAGAGGUGCGCGGAGAUCAUAUCAGCCAGGGGCAUGUGGACCCAGCAGAGGCCAACCCAGGGCGCUGCCCAUUGCCAGCACAAGAGUUCAAUGAAGAAGCCCAGGGAACUGGACACUCUGCCCACCACAGCCGCCAGGUCACCCUGAGCACAGGAAGAGCCUGGCUGGGGGGUGCUGGUGGGGACCUCCUUGGGCACAGUGAGAUGAGAACUGCUCAUCCACUCCUCAGCACCACCUUCUCACCCAUGCAGGUGCAGCCCACGGAUGUCCUGAUCCCUGAGCCACUGAAGCCGAAGAGUAGUCUGCUGGGAACCCAGGAGCUUCAGGGUGACGUGAAGUGGGUGCUGGAGCAUCACAGGGCUCAGCAGCAGGCACUGGAGACUCGGGUGGCAGCCCUGGGUCAACAGCUGCAGGGAGCCCGAGAGGAGGCCAGGGCAGCUGGGCAGCGGCUAGCUGCACAAGCAGUGGUGCUGUCCACCUGCCAGGGCCAGCUCCGCCAGGCACAGGCUGAGAAUGCCCGGCUGCAGCUGCAGCUGAAGAAGCUGAAUGAGGAGUAUGCCCUCCGGCUGCAGCACUAUGCCCGAGAGGCAGUGGGAUAUGCAGAUGGUACAAGCCAGGCAGCCCUCCAGACGUUCCUGGAGACCACUCUGCAGGACAUCCGAGCAGCACAUCACAGUCGUGAGCAACAGCUGGCCCGGGCUGCUAGGGCCUACCGCAAGCACCUGGCAGAUCUGAGCCGUAGGCAUGACGAGCUGCUGGUCAUCCACAGUGUGCAGCAGGACCAGCCCCAGGCACUGGCGGACCCAGAUGGGACAACUAGGACCCUCAAGGCUACCUUUACUACAGCCACUGACCUGAAGCCACUGCCUGUGCCGCUGGCCCCUGAGCUCAGCCACCUGCAGGAGGAUGAGCACCACCAGUUCAGGAUGCUGCCCCUGCGCCCACGAAGGGCAUCUAGAGAAACCGCCUCCCUGCAGACCUCGGAGCCACAGAACCUGGAUACCACCUCCUGGGCCCAGAUCCGCCAGAAGCUCCAGGACUUCUCCCUAGGCACCCAGAGCUGGAACACGAGCGAGCACAGCUGCUAGUCCGGGCCACCAAGGCUGAGGAGCAGCUUUCAGAGCUACAGGAGUAUGUGGAUCAGCACCUGGGCAGGUACAAGCAGGAAAUCCUGAGGCUGAGAAAGCUGGUGGGCACAGGGGACCCCUGGAAAGUGGGAGCCACACCUCCAGCCAAGCCCUAGCAUCCAAGGACCCAGACGGUCUUCUGAGGAGCACAGAGUGGACCCCUUCA
This is an RNA transcript of Sciurus carolinensis (gray squirrel), 2033 nucleotides long. It is a transcript of the gene named coiled-coil domain containing 78, with no coding region annotated. The transcript is spliced from 13 exons. The record is from RefSeq and is a predicted model, not a curated record. Lineage: Eukaryota; Metazoa; Chordata; Mammalia; Rodentia; Sciuridae.